RNAcentral lists this ribosomal RNA (465 nucleotides) under uncultured bacterium. RNAcentral's name for it is "bacterial SSU rRNA". It matches the Rfam family "Bacterial small subunit ribosomal RNA", at positions 338 to 795 of the family's 1533-position model. The record is from RNAcentral.
CCUACGGGCGGCAGCAGUAGGGAAUUUUCGGCAAUGGGGGGAACCCUGACCGAGCAAUGCCGCGUGAAUGAUGAAGGUCUUCGGAUUGUAAAAUUCUGUCAACGGGGAAGAAUGGUACGCGCAGUGGAAAAGCGCGUGCGUGACGGUACCUGUUUAGAAAGCCCCGGCUAACUAUGUGCCAGCAGCCGCGGUAAUACAUAGGGGGCGAGCGUUAUCCGGAUUUAUUGGGCGUAAAGCGUGCGUAGGCGGUUUAUUAGGUCAGGCGUAAAAGAUCACAGCUCAACUGUGUAAGGCGUUUGAAACCGGUAGACUUGAAUAUGGUAGAGGUAAGUGGAAUUCCAUGUGUAGCGGUGGAAUGCGUAGAUAUAUGGAGGAACACCAAUGGCGAAGGCAGCUUACUGGGCCAGAAUUGACGCUGAGGCACGAAAGCGUGGGGAGCAAACAGGAUUAGAUACCCCAGUAGUC